UCACAAACAAGGUACCUUAUUUGAAA
Molecule: unclassified non-coding RNA, 26 nt
Filed under: Mus musculus (house mouse)
Lineage: Eukaryota; Metazoa; Chordata; Mammalia; Rodentia; Muridae
Description: oocyte_clustered_small_RNA13748
Source: RNAcentral